GCUAGAACCCAGAGGGAGUGAGUCUGAAUAGGCUUAAACAUCUAGAGUAAUGACUGAUGGUGUAGCCAUUGUGCUCUCUGUGGUGACAAGAAGUACACUCACAAGUUGGAAUGGUGCAAGUGGACGGAACUAGCAAGGCUUUCUGGGAAAUGUUUAUGCCCCAUAUCAACUCUUUUUCACUUAACUUCAAACUUCUCCAGGAGGAACAAAUAAAAGCCUUUUGUUUGGU
Phyllostomus discolor (pale spear-nosed bat) is the source of this 229-nucleotide long non-coding RNA. RefSeq lists it as uncharacterized. Lineage: Eukaryota; Metazoa; Chordata; Mammalia; Chiroptera; Phyllostomidae. The record is from RefSeq and is a predicted model, not a curated record. The transcript has 2 exons.